Molecule: ribosomal RNA, 253 nt
Filed under: uncultured bacterium
Lineage: Bacteria
Description: partial 16S ribosomal RNA
Rfam family: Bacterial small subunit ribosomal RNA
Source: RNAcentral
UACGGAGGGGACUAGCGUUGUUCGGAAUUACUGGGCGUAAAGCGCACGUAGGCGGAUUUGUAAGUCAGGGGUGAAAUCCCGGGGCUCAACCUCGGAACUGCCUUUGAUACUGCAAAUCUCGAGUCCGGAAGAGGUGAGUGGAAUUCCUAGUGUAGCGGUGAAAUGCGCAGAUAUCAGGAGGAACACCAAUUGCGAAGGCAGCUCGCUGGAACGUAACUGACGCUGAGACGCGAAAGCGUGGGGAGCAAACAGG